This is a non-coding RNA of Macaca mulatta (Rhesus monkey), 1014 nucleotides long. The record is from RefSeq and is a predicted model, not a curated record. Lineage: Eukaryota; Metazoa; Chordata; Mammalia; Primates; Cercopithecidae.
UGCUGGGAUUACAGGCAUGAGCCACCAUGCCCAGCUUGUUAGGGAACCAAGAAAAUGGAAAUAAUGGUCCCUGCCCACCUGGAGCUUAAGGUGCUAUUUACACAUUCUCGUUUGAAGUACCCCGGGGUAAGUAGGAUUUCAUUGGAUUCCCCAUUCAUUCCUGUGUUGUUAUAUACAUAUAUUUUAAUAUCUAUAAUACAUAUAUAAUUAAUUUUAAUGUAUAUUAAUACACAUAAUUUUCAUUCAAUGUUCCUGGCUCAUAACUCCCAUAGCCAUUGUUGGUCUUUUGUUAUACGCUGUGUGUGUUAGGCCUCAGGGCCAAGCCUCAGGACAGAAUCUCUCUCGUGCCCUCUCCUUAUCUGCCCCAAGGCAGGACUCUAAUCCUCUCCACCUUUCUGAUUGUGGGUCUUAAGAGACUCCCCACAGAGGGUCCCACCCUGUACACUGGGGGAAGGAAUGGUGACGUCGUGAGGCUUCCAUGAAAACCCAAGAGGAUGGGUUUUGGGGAGCUGGGCCUGUGGAGGCUGACAGGAAGGUGAAGAAGAACUCACAUGUGCUAGGAGGAUGGCACAGCUCAAUUCCUGGGGACAGAAGCUCCUGCGCUUGGGACCCUUGCAGACCUCACCCUAUAUAUUUCUUCAUCUGGCUGUUUAUUUGUAUUCUUUAAAAUAUCCUUCUUAAUAAACCGGCAAGUGUGUUUCUUAGUUCUGUGAGCUGCUCUAGCAAAUUAAUCAAACCCAGAGAGGGAGUGGUGGGAAGCCCAGCUCGAAGCUGGUUGGUCAGAAGUUCCGGAGGAACCCUGACUUGCAACUGGCGGGGCAUGGAGAGCGUGGUCUUGUGGGACUGAGUCCUCAACCUGGGGGCUCUGACACUGUCUCCAGGCACAUAGCAUCAGAACUGAAUUGGAGGACACCCCGCUGGUGUAUACUGCUUUGUGUGGGGGAGAAAACCCCCACGCCUUUGGUCACAGAAGCCUUCUGUGUUGAUGUUCGUUGUGAUGGUGUGAGAGCAGAG